RNAcentral lists this ribosomal RNA (930 nucleotides) under Microbacterium sp. RNAcentral's name for it is "bacterial SSU rRNA". It matches the Rfam family "Bacterial small subunit ribosomal RNA", at positions 56 to 994 of the family's 1533-position model. Lineage: Bacteria; Bacillati; Actinomycetota; Actinomycetes; Micrococcales; Microbacteriaceae. The record is from RNAcentral. RNAcentral also lists the same sequence under 1 other name.
UGCAAGUCGAACGGUGAAGCUCCAGCUUGCUGGAGUGGAUCAGUGGCGAACGGGUGAGUAACACGUGAGCAACCUGCCCCGGACUCUGGGAUAAGCGCUGGAAACGGCGUCUAAUACCGGAUACGCACCAGAAUCGCAUGGUUACUGGUGGGAAAGAUUUUUUGGUUCGGGAUGGGCUCGCGGCCUAUCAGCUUGUUGGUGAGGUAACGGCUCACCAAGGCGUCGACGGGUAGCCGGCCUGAGAGGGUGACCGGCCACACUGGGACUGAGACACGGCCCAGACUCCUACGGGAGGCAGCAGUGGGGAAUAUUGCACAAUGGGCGGAAGCCUGAUGCAGCAACGCCGCGUGAGGGAUGACGGCCUUCGGGUUGUAAACCUCUUUUAGCAGGGAAGAAGCGAAAGUGACGGUACCUGCAGAAAAAGCGCCGGCUAACUACGUGCCAGCAGCCGCGGUAAUACGUAGGGCGCAAGCGUUAUCCGGAAUUAUUGGGCGUAAAGAGCUCGUAGGCGGUCUGUCGCGUCUGCUGUGAAAACCCGAGGCUCAACCUCGGGCCUGCAGUGGGUACGGGCAGACUAGAGUGCGGUAGGGGAGAUUGGAAUUCCUGGUGUAGCGGUGGAAUGCGCAGAUAUCAGGAGGAACACCGAUGGCGAAGGCAGAUCUCUGGGCCGUAACUGACGCUGAGGAGCGAAAGGGUGGGGAGCAAACAGGCUUAGAUACCCUGGUAGUCCACCCCGUAAACGUUGGGAACUAGUUGUGGGGGCCUUUCCACGGUCUCCGUGACGCAGCUAACGCAUUAAGUUCCCCGCCUGGGGAGUACGGCCGCAAGGCUAAAACUCAAAGGAAUUGACGGGGACCCGCACAAGCGGCGGAGCAUGCGGAUUAAUUCGAUGCAACGCGAAGAACCUUACCAAGGCUUGACAUAUAGAGG